GGGUUGUGAGGUUAAGCGACUAAGCGUACACGGUGGAUGCCCUGGCAGUCAGAGGCGAUGAAGGACGUGCUAAUCUGCGAUAAGCGUCGGUAAGGUGAUAUGAACCGUUAUAACCGGCGAUUUCCGAAUGGGGAAACCCAGUGUGAUUCGUCACACUAUCAUUAACUGAAUCCAUAGGUUAAUGAGGCGAACCGGGGGAACUGAAACAUCUAAGUACCCCGAGGAAAAGAAAUCAACCGAGAUUCCCCCAGUAGCGGCGAGCGAACGGGGAGCAGCCCAGAGCCUGAAUCAGUGUGUGUGUUAGUGGAAGCGUCUGGAAAGGCGCGCGAUACAGGGUGACAGCCCCGUACACAAAAAUGCACAUGCUGUGAGCUCGAUGAGUAGGGCGGGACACGUGGUAUCCUGUCUGAAUAUGGGGGGACCAUCCUCCAAGGCUAAAUACUCCUGACUGACCGAUAGUGAACCAGUACCGUGAGGGAAAGGCGAAAAGAACCCCGGCGAGGGGAGUGAAAAAGAACCUGAAACCGUGUACGUACAAGCAGUGGGAGCACAGAGCAAUCUGUGUGACUGCGUACCUUUUGUAUAAUGGGUCAGCGACUUAUAUUCUGUAGCAAGGUUAACCGAAUAGGGGAGCCGAAGGGAAACCGAGUCUUAACUGGGCGUUAAGUUGCAGGGUAUAGACCCGAAACCCGGUGAUCUAGCCAUGGGCAGGUUGAAGGUUGGGUAACACUAACUGGAGGACCGAACCGACUAAUGUUGAAAAAUUAGCGGAUGACUUGUGGCUGGGGGUGAAAGGCCAAUCAAACCGGGAGAUAGCUGGUUCUCCCCGAAAGCUAUUUAGGUAGCGCCUCGUGAAUUCAUCUCCGGGGGUAGAGCACUGUUUCGGCAAGGGGGUCAUCCCGACUUACCAACCCGAUGCAAACUGCGAAUACCGGAGAAUGUUAUCACGGGAGACACACGGCGGGUGCUAACGUCCGUCGUGAAGAGGGAAACAACCCAGACCGCCAGCUAAGGUCCCAAAGUCAUGGUUAAGUGGGAAACGAUGUGGGAAGGCCCAGACAGCCAGGAUGUUGGCUUAGAAGCAGCCAUCAUUUAAAGAAAGCGUAAUAGCUCACUGGUCGAGUCGGCCUGCGCGGAAGAUGUAACGGGGCUAAACCAUGCAC
RNAcentral lists this ribosomal RNA (1163 nucleotides) under Escherichia coli. Its description in RNAcentral is "partial 23S ribosomal RNA". It matches the Rfam family "Bacterial large subunit ribosomal RNA", at positions 1 to 1194 of the family's 2925-position model. The record is from RNAcentral. Lineage: Bacteria; Pseudomonadati; Pseudomonadota; Gammaproteobacteria; Enterobacterales; Enterobacteriaceae.